This 4167-nucleotide long non-coding RNA is filed under the name Manihot esculenta (cassava). Its description in RNAcentral is "long non-coding RNA (MESC_LNC010159)". Lineage: Eukaryota; Viridiplantae; Streptophyta; Magnoliopsida; Malpighiales; Euphorbiaceae. The record is from RNAcentral.
GAAAAAAUAAAAUACAAGUACUACAAUCCCAGAACCAAUUGCAACCACCCAACCUAAAACAGAAAGUAAUAAGCCAUUGCCAAAAAUUAUCUUGAGAAAUAAAGACAAAUAGCAUUUUCUUUUUUCUUUUAUUUUUCUUUUGUGGCUUCAGCAACUUCCAUUCACACUGAAGCAGAUUGUUCAUAAACAAAGCAUCAUAAACAUUCAGGGAUUACACUUAUUUAUGCAGGGAAUAACAUUCAGGGAAUAUGAAUGGAUUUAUACUCCCUGUUUUGAGUAACAUUUCAAAGAUCAUGUACCGGAUCUGAGCACUUUUGCAUUUCAGUUUACCUCUAUAAGAAAUGGACUAGUCUAACUCAACCUUAAAAGCUAGUUCAAGCAGGAAGGAUUGCCCAAGUCUUUAUAUUUAUCUCAAUUUAUUUAUCCCAAACUGAUGUUGAACAACACAUCCCCUCAUGUCUAGACAUGAACAUUUAAAGUGUGAAGUUUACAAGAACGAACAUCUGCAAGUGGUCUAACAACAAAUCAAGAGUAGACAUUAAUAUCAUGUAGAGAAAUUAAUUUAGUGAGCCUAACCCAAUCCCAAAAACUAGUCAAAGGGAAGACUGCCCAAGUCUUUAUAUUUAGCACAAUUUCCUUAUCCCAAACCUAUUGGGAACAACAACCUCCAUGCGCUUUAAAUAAAUUUUUUAUUUUUGUCAAAAACAUGAAUGCAUGUUGUUAUAGGUUAUAGGAAGUAAAUUUUGAUAGAUAUAUCAGUUGUUUAAUCUUAGGGAGUGUAUGAUCAUAGACUUGAUUUUCCUUUUUGUUUAGUUACUGACUCUCAUGUAUAAAUAAGUUAAAAAUUUUGUAAUAUUGUAAUAUACAACAACAACAAAUAUUAUCUUUCUACAUGAUAUCAGAGCUUCACCCAUAAAGAUUUAAAAAUUUUUUGGAGACUUAGGACUCUAUUCAUUUGGGUUACCCAUAUAGAGUAACAUUUGGAUCUCACAGCCCCCCUGGGAAGGACGCCGAAGCGCCGGCGAAGCUUCCCUAAAGAGCCGACGGGCGUUCGGCUAGCGAGUGGGCCUCACGCGCCGGCGUGUGAAGGCGCAUCCCUGCUCCGUCGCUGCUCCGGUCACCAUUGACAGAGUCGCCACAACGUCCCCUUGUCAGACAUAGUUUGGCAGGUCCAAUGAGGUAGUCCAACAGUAUGGAAUGAAGACGAGUAAGUGUGAUCACUCAAUGUUUUAUAGAAAUUCUGAUAGUGGAGUAAUUCUGCUUGUAGUAUAUGUGGAUGAUAUCGUUAUCACAGGAAGUGACGUUGCUAGUAUCACAUCCCUAAAAGAAUUUCUUAAAACACAGUUUCAUACAAAGGAUUUGGGCUCCUUGAAAUAUUUCUUGAGAAUCGAAGUUAUGCGGUAUAAGAAAGGCAUCUUCUUAUCUUAAAGAAAAUAUGUCCUUGAUUUAUUGGCAGAAACAGGAAAAUUGGGUGCUAAGCCUUGUAGUGCUCCAAUGUCCCCUAACCUUCAACUUACCACAAAAGACAUUGAGUCAUUUGCAAAUCCUGAAAGGUACAGAAAAUUAGUUGGCAAGCUGAAUUCUUUGUUACCUUAAAGGGCCCCAGGGUAAGGUCUAUUCUAUAGUAACCAUGGGCACUCAAAUAUUAAAUGUUUUUCUGAUGCUAAUUAGGCAGGUUCGAAGGUUGAUAGGAAGUCAACUACUGGAUAUUGUAUUUUUGUGGGAGGUAACCUGGUCUCAUGGAAAAGUAAGAAGUAAAAUGUGGUCUCCCGUUCUAGUGCCGAAUCCGAAUAUCGAGCCAUGGCACAAGCCGUUUGUGAAGUCUUGUGAGUACGUCAACUAUUGGAAGAAGUUGGCUUCACAAAUUCGGUGCCUGCUAAGUUGUGGUGUGAUAAUCAAGCAACUAUCCACAUUGCCUCCAAUCCAGUAUUUCAUGAUAGGACUAAACACAUUGAGAUUGAUUGUCAUUUUGUUCGUGAGAAGGUCCAACAAAAGAUAAUAUCAACAGGAUAUAUCCAAAUUGGAGAAACAACUAGAAAAUAUCUUCACUAAAGCUCUAAAUGGGACUUGAGUAGAUUAUAUAUGUAAUAAGUUGGGCAUAAUUAACAUCUAUACUCCAACUUGAGGGAGAGUGUUAUAGGUUAUAGGAAGUAAAUAUUGAUAGAUGUGUCAGUUGCUUAAUCUUAGAGAUUGUAUGAUCAUAGACUUGAUUUUCCUUCCUGUUUAGAUACAGUCUUUCAUGUAUAAAUAGGUUGUAAUCUCUAUUGUAAUAUACAACAACAAAUAUUAUCUUUCUAUACAUGUUAACCAAACAGUCCAAAACUGAGCAAAUAAAACACAGCAAACUGAGUGACAAAACUCAUACACACAGAGUCAGACACAUCUCUAAAUAAUACUGAUGAACACAUUGAGUCAUGGACACAAGUCUCCGGACAAAUAUCAGCAUACACAUCUAACUGCAACUAAAUCAAGACAAAGAUAAGGUAGCUGCGCCUUAAAUAAAUUUUGUGCGAAGAAGAAUAUAAUUGAGAAGCACUUUUUUUUUGUUGCAAUAUCCAAAGCUUAUACAUAUACCACCAAUAAGCGAACCUGAUAAUUCAUGUCAACUGUCAAGUGAUUUCUAGGAUAUCUUCCUUGCAACCAGGGGUGACCAGUAUUCAGUUCAAACCGAAAAAAUCGACCGAACCGAAUUAAUUUGAAAAUUCAGUUCGGUUUUUUAUUUAUUUCGGUUUAGUUUAAUUUUUAAUUUUAAAAUUUUCGAUUAUUUCAGUUCGGUUCGGUUUUGAUCUGAAAAAAUUGAAAAAACCAAACCGAACCGAUUAGUGAUAAUAAUAUAUUAUUUUCAAUAAUUUAGAGAGAUUAGAUCAUAUUAAGGUUAAAAUAGUUCAAUUAAAUUUUAAAAUACUAAAAAUAAAGUAUAAAAAAUAAAAAAUUUAUUAAAAAUUUAAACCUAUCAAACCCAACCGAAUCGAACCGGUUCGGUUCGAUUCGGUUUCUGACCAAAAUCGAUUCGGUUUUUAUAAAUAUUAAAAUUUUGGUUUUUGAUUUAUUCGGUUCGGAUCGGUUUUGAACCGAACCGACCGAAUGCUCACCCCUACACCAUCCACCCACAAAAAAUAAGAAGAGAACAGGUCAACACAAUUAUUUUCUCCAAGCCAUGGCUUCUGUUUCUUUAGUAUCAUCCAAACUCCAAAGCUUAUCCAAAAACAGGCACAUAAAGGCAAACUCCAUAACUCACCCCAGUGAUUUCUAGGGCAUCAACCUCCAGUACCAUUCACCCACCACAAAUAAGAAGAAAACAAUCCAACACCAUUUUUUUAUAACCAAAAUCAUCAUCUGUGAGUACUAUGAAUAAGCUUAAGUUUAACUUUUUAAUUUCAUUGCCAUGCAACGGGAUGCAAUAAGGGCUUGGUGUCAUUAUGUUAAUAAAGAGUGGGUCGGAGGAAUUUUAACGAGGUCCACCACAUAAACUAGACUUCCUAGUAUCAUAUUUAUUCAGAUAUAAAAAGUUAUAAGAAUGUAUGAUAAAGCUUUUAUCUUAUCAUUAGCAACGCAUCAAAAACCAGCGUCAAAAAAUUGCAUGAUACUUUCAAAUAUCAUGUUACUAAGUAGAAGGCUAAAGAAUAGUUCAUCGCAUAACCCAAUUUAUGUUGUUAGUUAAUCAUUUUCUCAAAAAACCUCACUUUAAACCUACUCUGCAAUACUGAGCAAAAGAUAGGAUUAAUAAUUUAGGAGGUUAAUGUGGUCUAAAAACAAAAGCUCCUAAUCUGAUGCCAUGUUAAACAAUCACCUAAAUCCAAACGUAUAAGUUGCCAAAUUGCAGGAACAUUACUUAUUAUUCAUGAUAUUCAUACACACUGCAUAUAACAAUUUUCCAUAUCACUUUCAUCCAUAAAAAUACUCCAGUGAUUUUUUAACCGCAUGCACAUGAUGAAACUUGUACUAUAGAACAAAACAACUCAUGCUUUGCUCUCAAACAAGUAGGAAGAGAAGAUUUCCACCAUCUGACAUCAUAUGCAAAACCUCAGUGACUAUCCCAAGAAAGGUCACCUAAAUUUGUCACAUAUCUAUACCUAUUUUCGCAGUGUCAAAGCAAGAAUCAAAAUCUUCAUAUUGUGAAUCUGGAAUCAAAACUGAAUCAUAAGAUUCUAUAAAAGUUCUCAAAAG